CAUCAAUGAACACAUGGAGGUAUGGAGUAUACAUUCAAUGUAGCCUUGAAGAAAAACAAUGUGUCUCCUGAUGUAAUGGUUAUGGCAUUCCUGCAUCAAUGGACACAUGGAGGUAUGGAGUAUGCAUUCAUUGUAGCCUUGAAG
Molecule: long non-coding RNA, 144 nt
Organism: Haliotis rubra (blacklip abalone)
Lineage: Eukaryota; Metazoa; Mollusca; Gastropoda; Lepetellida; Haliotidae
Exons: 2
Source: RefSeq, a predicted model, not a curated record